This 460-nucleotide ribosomal RNA is filed under the name uncultured bacterium. RNAcentral describes it as "partial 16S ribosomal RNA". It matches the Rfam family "Bacterial small subunit ribosomal RNA", at positions 338 to 795 of the family's 1533-position model. The record is from RNAcentral.
CCUACGGGCGGCUGCAGUGAGGAAUAUUGGUCAAUGGUCGGGAGACUGAACCAGCCAAGCCGCGUGAGGGAUGAAGGUACAGAGUAUCGUAAACCUCUUUUGUCAGGGAACAAAGGCGGGGACGUGUCCCCGGAUGAGUGUACCUGAUGAAAAAGCAUCGGCUAACUCCGUGCCAGCAGCCGCGGUAAUACGGAGGAUGCGAGCGUUAUCCAGAUUUAUUGGGGUUAAAGGGUGCGCAGGCGGUCUGUUAAGUCAGGGGUCAAAGGCCGGGGCUCAACCGCAGCAACGCCGUUGAAACUGGCAGUCUCGAGUUGGAGAGAAGUAUGCGGAAUGCGCGGUGUAGCGGUGAAAUGCAUAGAUAUCGCGCAGAACUCCGAUUGCGAAGGCAGCAUGCCGGCUCCACACUGACGCUGAGGCACGAAAGCGUGGGUAUCGAACAGGAUUAGAUACCCUUGUAGUC